CCUACGGGAGGCAGCAGUGGGGGAUAUUGCACAAUGGGGGAAACCCUGAUGCAGCGACGCCGCGUGGGUGAAGAAGCGCCUCGGCGCGUAAAGCCCUGUCAGCAGGGAAGAAAAUGACGGUACCUGAAGAAGAAGCCCCGGCUAACUACGUGCCAGCAGCCGCGGUAAUACGUAGGGGGCAAGCGUUAUCCGGAUUUACUGGGUGUAAAGGGAGCGUAGACGGAGAAGCGAGUCUGAAGUGAAAGCCCGUGGCUUAACCACGGGACUGCUUUGGAAACUGUUUGACUAGAGUGCUGGAGAGGGAA
This 305-nucleotide ribosomal RNA is filed under the name uncultured bacterium. RNAcentral describes it as "bacterial SSU rRNA". It matches the Rfam family "Bacterial small subunit ribosomal RNA", at positions 338 to 660 of the family's 1533-position model. The record is from RNAcentral.